Molecule: long non-coding RNA, 5058 nt
Filed under: Triticum aestivum (bread wheat)
Lineage: Eukaryota; Viridiplantae; Streptophyta; Magnoliopsida; Poales; Poaceae
Description: long non-coding RNA (TAES_LNC022703)
Source: RNAcentral
CCUGCCACCCUCAAGGAAGAAGCCGUACUAAUCAAUUAUUCAAUCAAGGUAAGCCCUAGGUUUAGCUCUCUUUUUUUCUUUCUAAUUUCCCCGUUACUAUUUUAUUCUGAUUUCCAUGUCAAAAAGGUAGUGAAUUGUAUCAAAUAUCCGUGUGUACAAAUUAUAAUAUACAAAUUGGUAAUUAGGUUGAUUGAAUCUAGGUUCCCCUAAGAAUUCCAUAUGAAUAAGUUUGAGCACAUGGGAGUAAAAUGAAAUCUAUAGUAAUAUUCUGCUUUCAUGGUCUCAAUUUAUUUAACAUUAAAUAUUUGGCAUUGACAGAAAAGCUAAUGGAGAGAUGUUUAUCUGUCAAUGUUUGUAUGCUCUCUAUAUUCAAACAUGUUCCAUCUUCCUGCAGCUUGAAGGCUAGAAAUCAGGACGUACCAACAAAAAGGAAACGGCAUAGUCAAGUUAUUGUGCCUUAACUGGUUAGUUUACUUUUACUUCCGCAAUGAACUUAUCACAAUUAAUUAAUUAUGCGUGUGACCACAUUAUCUUGUAAGGAAAUGUGUGAGCUUGCUUCUAACACACUAUAUGCAUGCUUAUGUGGUUGUUUUCUUUAAUUAUUUGGCCAUUAGUUCGAUAGAUGGCUAGAAAUCAGGGACGUACCAACAAAAAGGAACAGCAUAGUCAAGUUAUUGUGCUUAACUGGUUAGUUUACUUUUACUUUCGCAAUGAACUUAUCAUAAUUAAUUAAUUAUGCCUGUGAUGACAUUGUCUUAUAAGGAAGUGUGUGAUUUUGCUUCUAACACACUAUAUGCAUGCUUGUGUGGUUGUUUUUUAAUUAUUUAGCCAUUUGUUCGAUAGAUGUUUUUGAAAAAAAAGUAUGUAUAUAUCAUUGCCCCCUCUCAUUUUUCAUCCUGGCUCCGCCCCUGCGCUCUUAGCUAACGAAUGUUCGCUGGGUGCACUGGCGGAGCGUCGGCGGGACCAAGGAGGCCCAACCCCCCUCCAUGAGAAAUAUUGCCAAGAUAAGUUUGCCUAAUGCUAAACUCUUUUGCUAAUCUUCCUGCUUCACUAAUCUCCCUAGCACUUUUGGCCCCCUCUUCAAUUUGGUUCACACCCCGCCACUGGGUGGGUGGGUGGCAUUUGCGAACCUUUCCCAUGGCAGUUUUAGUUUUAGGGGGGUUACAUUUUCACUAGCAUGUCAAUUUUUUGAAGAGAAGGCAUUUAAAAAAAAGCGUCAUCAUUUGAUGAUCCUAGGGCGUUUACUGGGAGUUUUUUUCUCGGAGAACGUUUGCCAGUUAGCGUCACCAUAGAAAUUACAAUUAACACAACAAUAUAGUUAAAAAACGACACAACUGCACCCUGAUGUUCUGGCUCAACCGGCAGAUGAGCAAAAACUGGGGUCACCAGAGGUUUGUAUCUUCACCUUACCAACAAUUCCCCAUGUUGGCGAGGGAACCGCACCGAGGUCUAAAAAACUUAAGACCCUUGGGAUUUAUACACACAAUCUGCCUAUUAAUUUCCCAUCCUUGCUUUCCAUGAACCACUUUCAUAACUUAAUCCAUAUUCGUGAGGUGGAAAACAUCCCUCGUGCACAUGUCCCCUCAGUCUGGGAUAUCCAGCGUGACACGGGGUCAAAUGCAGAGAGGAAAGACGGUUGGGGUACCAACAACUAUCAUAUUCUGCAGGCACUCCAGCACAAUAGCAUGUUGGUGCAGUCUAUGAUGAACCAGAUAUAUCAGUUGACGGAGAUGGUCGUGGAGCAUAUCAAAACUGAAGCCUGCGACAACAAGCCAUCACCACCUUCAAAGGACCAAGCAUGAGUAGGCUCCAGUAUUGUUGAGAUGUUAGAUUGUUUGGAUGUUUCAUUGCAUUUAACCGUCGGGAUAUGAAAAAUAAUGAAGUGUUAUUUUUAGUUGAUUUAUCCAUGCUACAUGACUGCUAAAUAUGAUCAAUGACAAUUUGAUUUUCCCCUUAUCUCUUAUUUAUCCCGACCAACAUGCUAUUUUUGCUUUCCCUUAUCGCUACACCGGAAGAAGAAUAGAAGAUUCUUUUCACUUGCCUGUUUGUUCUCUCCCUAUUCCAUGUUUUAUAGUAUGGCGAUUAAAGAGAAUCUUCUAUUCUUCUUUUGGUGUAGCGAUAAGAGAAAGCAAAAAUAGCAUGUUGGUCGGGAUAAAUAAGAGAUAAGGGAAAAAUCAAAUUGUCAUUGAGCAUAUUUAGCAGUCACGUAGUAUGUAUAAAUCAACUGAAAAUAACACUUUAUUAUUUUUCAUAUCCGGAUGGCUACAUGCGAUGAAACAUCCAAACAAUCUAACAUCUCAACAAUACUGGAGCCUCCUCAUGCUUGGUCCUUUGAAGGUGGUGGUGGCUUGUUGUCGCAGGCUUUAGUUUGGAUAUGCUUCACGGCCAUCUCCAUCAACUGAUUUCUGGUUCAUCAUAGACUGCACCAACAUGCUAUGGUGCUGGAGUGCCUUCAGAUUCUGAUAGUUGUUGGUACCCCAACCGUCUUUCCUCUCUGCAUUUGACCCCAUGUCACGCUGGAUAUCCCAGCCUGAGGGGCCAUGUGCACGAGGGAUGUUUUCCACCUCACGAAUAUGGAUUAAGUUAUGAAAAUGAUUCAUGGAAAGCAUGGAUGGGAAGUUAAUAGGCAGGUUGUGCGUAUGCAUCCCAAGGGUCUUAAGUUUUUUAGACCUCGGUGCGGUUCACUAGCCAACACGGAGAUUUGUUGGUAAGGUGAAGAUGCAAACCUCUGGUGACACCGGUUCUUGCUCAUCUUCCGGUUGAGCCAGAACAUUAGUUUCUUCCCGAUCUUGAUGUUGAUCCUCGCCUCCCUCGUUGUUGCCGCCGUUUGAGCCCAUAGCGCGAGAAUGGGAGACGACUUUGACGGGUGUAUGGCACACUGCCACGGCCGCCUCAUUAUCGGGUGCCGCUAACUCAAAAAAUGAAGACAUCUUGGCAACUCGUGUAGUACCAGACAGCGUCAUGGACGGUACUGGAUGCAGUGGCGGGACCUUACCCUGCUUUGGGCCAUGGUAGGUGAUGAGCUCCCCUUUUUCUCUUUCCUUUGCCCUCACAAUUUUUUUAUGUUCCUUUUUAUUCUCAGAUUGAAGUCAACGUGGCGUGAUGCGUCGUAAGAAUAAGAUGUUUGCAUGUUUUCAAAUGAUGAGUUGUUUCAGAAUUGUUAGAAUAAUUUGGGCAACUGGCCCUUGUUUUUUUCUGUUUGAAUUAGAUUUGCUUGUUCUGAAUUUUGCAGGCAUGUGGUGUGUUGUAAUUAUCUUGGUCUUGUUUGUUUGCAGAGACACCUGGCGAUGUAUCAUAAUAUGUCCUGCAAAAUAAAGGAGCGCUGAGGAUGAUGGCUUUCAUGUUGGUUUGGAUGAUGCUGGUUCGGUAGUGUGGCUUCUAAUAUGUCAGGUAAGAUCUUGGGGUAUCAUAUUCGCUGAUUCUCCACAUUGCAGGAUUCGUCCUGUGUUCCGUUAGGUGUGAUGUGUGUUGUCUGUGUGGAUAUGUUGUGGCCGCGGGCCAUGCGUGUGCUUGUGACAGCCUGCUAGGUAAUAUUUAUGGUCAUGGUGCAGUAUUCAAAAUUUGGUGCUAGAUCGUACGACAAUACUUCAUAUGAUGUGGUGCAAAUGUUAAUUGGGAAUUCAGUCGUCUUUUAUCUAAUAUAUAUUUGCAUAUAAAUGGUGCAUCAAAUAGCCUCAUAAAUCUGAAAUGAAUAUAUGUUACAGGAGCCUUACUCUUAUAUAUAGUUGUCAUGAGGUGAAUGGGGUGUGAUUAUCAUGAUCAUAUGAUAUUAUAUAGGUACAUACUAUUUUUUUGUUUAUAUCUCUAGGAUUUGUAUUCAUCGAUUCUUGUUAGUAGUCAUUUGUGACUAGAAAUGUUUUUGAAAUUUUGGGAAAUUAGACAUGAUCAUUCUGACAAUGAAUGAAUAAAAACAUAUAUUCAAUCUUAGCGAGUCCAUGGGCAAUAUAGUACCCAUUUCUUGCCUGGCACACAGUUGGAAGGAUAUUUCCAUCCUUGCCUUCCAUUCUUUGCUACAGAAGCCAUGAGUUCAGUUUUGAUUUUGAAUCUUGUCAAGUUCAGUUCAGAUUUAAUUAUACUUCCUCUGUACUAUUUUUGUUGUUAAUAUUAAAAAAAUUGUCAUGAGUUUUUGAAAUCCAUGAGUGUUUUGGGAUUGUUAAGGGUCGUCAACAAAUAUUUUAUUAUACACUUGUAUAGGAUUAUUCAACACUAACACUUGUAACAUUUUAACUCUUUAUGAUACCCAUGUGGCAAUGGGGAGAGAAACAAUGAAAUCCUUGUUGAGAGCCUACAAUUCCUAAGAAGGUGGUUUUCUGGUUACCAUGAUUUUACAUAGCAUCACUCCUUAUUACAUAGAUAGAGAUGUUAUUUAUGUGUUUUCCACCAAAAGAUUUUGAGAUUGACACUGGUCAAGUUCCACUUCGUUGCUUCUUGUGUUAUUAUGUAUACUAAGAAGUGAAAUUUAUUUUAUGCAUGUCUUACUUUUGAAAUGGAGAGCCAUUUGUUUGGCCUACAGAACAAGUGCAUGAAAUUGAGAGCCAGUUGUUUGGACUGCAACACAAGUGCAUGAUUAUGUGUUUGAAAUUCAAAGUGUAAGUGGUUAGAGGUGGAAGGAGUGAUUUGAGAGCCGGAUGCACCAUUGAAAAAUGUGUCGAUCUUGGGUCCGAGAGGUGGAGAGGCAAAGAUAAUGAGUGGAGGAAUAGAAGAAGAAGAAUGUGGUCCUGAAAGAAGAAGAUGAAGAGGAAGAGGAAGAGAGAGAGUAGUAGAGAGAAAGUGAGAGGGAUUGAGGGGUCGAUGCCGUUGAUUGCCUAAUGUUGCUGCUAAUUAUACCUGCUGAUUAUAAGGAGGUGUCAUGGCAGUUUAUAUAGGGGUUGAUUGCCUAAGGUUGUUGCUGAUUACUGAUUUUGUAUAGUAAUCGUUGAUUGCUAGAGAGAUAAAAAUGUGUGUGUGCACUGAUUGCGAUAGCUAUAUGCCACUAGAUGUGUAUGUUGCUGCUGAAAAUGUGUUGUUUUUGGUUAUUUUUGAAAGAUAAACAUAUGAAUUUGAUAACACAACUAAAAA